CCAGACUCCUACGGGAGGCAGCAGUGGGGAAUAUUGCACAAUGGGGGAAACCCUGAUGCAGCGACGCCGCGUGAGUGAAGAAGUAUUUCGGUAUGUAAAGCUCUAUCAGCAGGGAAGAAAAUGACGGUACCUGACUAAGAAGCCCCGGCUAACUACGUGCCAGCAGCCGCGGUAAUACGUAGGGGGCAAGCGUUAUCCGGAUUUACUGGGUGUAAAGGGAGCGUAGGUGGCAUGGUAAGCCAGAAGUGAAAACCCGGGGCUCAACCCCGCGGAUUGCUUUUGGAACUAUCAGGCUGGAGUGCUGGAGGGGUAAGCGGAAUUCCUAGUGUAGCGGUGAAAUGCGUAGAUAUCAGGAGGAACACCGGCGGCGAAGGCGGCCUGCUGGACCGCGACUGACGUUGAGGCUCGAAAGCGUGGGGAGCGAACAGGAUUAGAUACCCGAGUA
This 445-nucleotide ribosomal RNA is filed under the name uncultured bacterium. Its description in RNAcentral is "bacterial SSU rRNA". It matches the Rfam family "Bacterial small subunit ribosomal RNA", at positions 331 to 792 of the family's 1533-position model. The record is from RNAcentral.